RNA transcript from Egretta garzetta (little egret), 215 nucleotides. RefSeq lists it as uncharacterized. The record is from RefSeq and is a predicted model, not a curated record. NCBI's taxonomy places the organism in Eukaryota, Metazoa, Chordata, Aves, Pelecaniformes, Ardeidae. The transcript has 3 exons.
GCCAGCAGGGAAACGUGCGCAGUGACGCUGACCUCCCACGAGCCCCGCUCCCAGCACUGGGCCGUGCGGGCGGUCGUGCACAUGCCCUUGGACCCUGAGCGAGUCCUGGAGGAGCUGAAGGAGAAGGAGGACAAGUUAGAGCAGCUCGGCAUCGCCAACAUCACCUACGACAAAAUGGAGAGGGAGAUGAUAAUCAACGAUGAGUUCAGCACGCC